CGGUCCGCCGCCGCGCGCGGCGGGCGGGGCGGGGCCACGGGGAGCCUUCGGGAGGCAGCAGUGGGGAAUUUUGGCCAAUGGGGGGAACCCUGAUCCACCCAUGCCGCGUGUGUGAAGAAGGCCUUAUGGUUGUAAAGCUCUUUAAGUGAGGAGGAGGCUACUUUAGUUAAUACCUAGAGAUCGUGGACGUUACUCGCAGAAUAAGCACCGGUUAACUCUGUGCCAGCAGCCGCGGUAAUACUGAGGGGGCGAGCGUUAAUCGUAUUUACUGGGCUUAAAGCGUGCGUAGGCGGCUUAUUAAGUCGGAUGUGAAAUCCCCGAGCUUAACUUGGGAAUUGCAUUGGAUACUGGUGAGAUAGAGUAUGGGAGAGGAUGGUAGAAUUCCAGGUGUAGCGGUGAAAUGCGUAGAGAUCUGGAGGAAUACCGAUGGCGAAGGCAGCCAUCUGGCAUAAUACUGACGUUGAGGUACGAAAGCAUGGGGAGCAACCAGGAUUAGAUACCCUGGUAGUCCAUUCCGUAAACGAUGCCAUUAGCCCGUUAGGCCUUUGGGGCUGUAGUCCGCAGCUAACGCGAAAGAGCAC
Molecule: ribosomal RNA, 581 nt
Filed under: uncultured bacterium
Lineage: Bacteria
Description: bacterial SSU rRNA
Rfam family: Bacterial small subunit ribosomal RNA
Source: RNAcentral